Molecule: ribosomal RNA, 534 nt
Filed under: uncultured bacterium
Lineage: Bacteria
Description: bacterial SSU rRNA
Rfam family: Bacterial small subunit ribosomal RNA
Source: RNAcentral
AAUAGAUACCCAGGUAGUCCACGCCCUAAACGAUGUCUACUAGUUGUCGGGGGGUAACUCCUUCGGUAACGCAGCUAACGCGUGAAGUAGACCGCCUGGGGAGUACGGUCGCAAGAUUAAAACUCAAAGGAAUUGACGGGGCCCGCACAAGCGGUGGAUGAUGUGGAUUAAUUCGAUGCAACGCGAAAAACCUUACUUACCCUUGACAUGCCACUAACGAAGCAGAGAUGCAUUAGGUGCCCGAAAGGGAAAGUGGACACAGGUGCUGCAUGGCUGUCGUCAGCUCGUGUCGUGAGAUGUUGGGUUAAGUCCCGCAACGAGCGCAACCCUUGCCAAUAGUUGCUACGAAAGGGCACUCUAUUGGGACUGCCGGUGACAAACCGGAGGAAGGUGGGGAUGACGUCAAGUCCUCAUGGCCCUUAUGGGUAGGGCUUCACACGUCAUACAAUGGCUGGUACAGAGGGUUGCCAACCCGCGGAGGGGGAGCCAAUCCCACAAAACCAGUCGUAGUCCGGAUUGCAGUCUGCAACUCGA